RNAcentral lists this transfer RNA (75 nucleotides) under Deltaproteobacteria bacterium. RNAcentral describes it as "tRNA-His". It matches the Rfam family "tRNA". Rfam says of the family: Transfer RNA (tRNA) molecules are approximately 80 nucleotides in length. Their secondary structure includes four short double-helical elements and three loops (D, anti-codon, and T loops). Lineage: Bacteria; Pseudomonadati; Myxococcota; Myxococcia. RNAcentral also lists the same sequence under 2 other names. The record is from RNAcentral.
GUGAGUGUAGCUCAGUGGUAGAGCGCUGGACUGUGGCUCCAGAUGUCGAGGGUUCAAAUCCCUUCACUCACCCCA